RNAcentral lists this non-coding RNA (25 nucleotides) under Mus musculus (house mouse). Lineage: Eukaryota; Metazoa; Chordata; Mammalia; Rodentia; Muridae. The record is from RNAcentral.
ACAGCCUAGAGGUGAGCAUGAGGGG